This 1002-nucleotide long non-coding RNA is filed under the name Meleagris gallopavo (turkey). Its description in RNAcentral is "lncRNA (ENSMGAG00000022616.1)". The record is from RNAcentral. Lineage: Eukaryota; Metazoa; Chordata; Aves; Galliformes; Phasianidae.
GAUACUAGCAGCUGUCAAAAUAUACCUUAAAUCAGUCAGUUUCCAUUUGCUGUCUGUUGCAAUAUUAUUUUUUGAAUUAUUAUGCAGUGAUUUUUAUGAAUUAUUAAUAUUUGGAUCAGAGCUCUAGGCUUGCUGUAAACCUUUUCUAAAUGUGACAAUGAAUCUCACUCUUCUUGCAGUUCUUAUGGCAGUUGAUAGCAGACACUUCAAAAGCUUUGCAGCAGCCAGUUGAGUGUAUAUCUUGAGAGAUGUAGAUUUGCAGGGAAUUUGAGAAGUCUUAUCAGGAAAUGUUUUCCUUUGACAGCAUGUUAUGUAGCAGACACGCCUGUGUGAACUGCCUGUGAUGUAGAGGAGCUCAUGUUCAAUCUCCAAAUGAUCAGAAAAGAACAUGACCCUGAACACAACUGGACAACCAGGACCAUCGGCCCUGUAUGUCGCACACCCCGUGUUGUUCAUAAUCUAGAAACCAGAACUUGUAUUUUCAACCGGAAGAUAUAAGAGUGGGAAACUUUCUCCUGCAGCUCAUCUCCAUAUGAAUCUGCACUUAUUGAUACUUUUCUUCAUCACCAAAAUCCUCUUUACAUGAGGCUGCAGAAAGAUAAAGUAAUGGACUCAGGUCUUCAUAACAUUUAAAAACUAAGUGAUACAUACAUGGAUAUUUAGAAGAUUAAAAUAUUUCAUUCAAAAUAUGUCCUAAUUAUCUUUUUUCUUUUUUUAGCUGAGGUUAAGAUAGCACUUGAACUCUAAACUUCUUUAAUAAUGUAUUAAUAUAAUAAUAUUAUAUUAAGUGCUCUGAGAAUACUACUGGAUCACAAAUUUAUAAUGUGUAGUUUUGUCCUGCCUGUACUUGGAUUAUAAACUCUUUGGAAGUAAGAACUAUCUUUUAGUCCUGUUGUCUUUAUAGUACCCAGAAAGUUGGGGCUUGGCAAUUCUACUGCGGUCACGGUUCCAACACUGACAGAGAAGCUGAGAACUUGAGGAUGGCUGCUGCCUUCUGGGAAG